RNAcentral lists this transfer RNA (72 nucleotides) under Camelus bactrianus (Bactrian camel). It matches the Rfam family "tRNA". Rfam says of the family: Transfer RNA (tRNA) molecules are approximately 80 nucleotides in length. Their secondary structure includes four short double-helical elements and three loops (D, anti-codon, and T loops). RNAcentral also lists the same sequence under 2 other names. Lineage: Eukaryota; Metazoa; Chordata; Mammalia; Artiodactyla; Camelidae. The record is from Rfam by way of RNAcentral.
GAGGGUAGAGCUGACUGGUAGAGCAUGUGCUUAGCGUGCACAAGGUCCUGGGUUCAAACCCAAGCACUUCCA